Molecule: ribosomal RNA, 253 nt
Filed under: uncultured bacterium
Lineage: Bacteria
Description: partial 16S ribosomal RNA
Rfam family: Bacterial small subunit ribosomal RNA
Source: RNAcentral
UACAGAGGGGGCAAGCGUUGUUCGGAAUUACUGGGCGUAAAGGGCGCGUAGGCGGCCUGCUAAGUCGAACGUGAAAUCCCCGGGCUCAACCCGGGAACUGCGUCCGGUACUGGCAGGCUUGAAUCCGGGAGAGGGAUGCGGAAUUCCAGGUGUAGCGGUGAAAUGCGUAGAUAUCUGGAGGAACACCGGUGGCGAAGGCGGCAUCCUGGACCGGCAUUGACGCUGAGGCGCGAAAGCCAGGGGAGCAAACGGG